AAACCGAACGGUGCGUCCGCGUAGUAUCAUGCCGAAAGGUCGUAUUAUGAGGAAAGUCCGGGCUUCACAGGGCAGGAUAACGGAUAACGUCCGCCGAAGGCAACUUCAGGGAAAGUGCAACAGAAAUAUACCGCCUCUUUUGAGGUAAGGAUGGAAAGGCGAGGUAAGAGCUCACCGGCACACUGGCGACUUUGUGCUAAUGUAAACCCUAUCCGAAGCAACACCGUCCGCGGGAGGAGAGUAAUCUCAUGUCUGCCCGACAGCAUCCCGCAGGUGGCACGCGGUACCCAAUCCGCGGAGCGUCAUGGCAACAUGCCGUCACAGAUAGAUGGACGCAGCUUUUGCGGAUUUUGUUCCGCAAAUUCACAAAACCCGGCUUACAAGUUCGGUUUUCUU
This 396-nucleotide RNase P RNA is filed under the name Clostridia bacterium. Its description in RNAcentral is "RNase P RNA component class A". It matches the Rfam family "Bacterial RNase P class A". Rfam says of the family: Ribonuclease P (RNase P) is a ubiquitous endoribonuclease, found in archaea, bacteria and eukarya as well as chloroplasts and mitochondria. The record is from RNAcentral. Lineage: Bacteria; Bacillati; Bacillota; Clostridia.